UCGCAGCACUGGUGUGCGUGUCUUAUUAGGUAUAAUUCGCAGCAUUUGUGUGCGUGUUCUACCAGGUGUAAUUUGUAGCAUUUGUGUGCGUGUUCUACAAGGUAUAAUUUGUAGCAGUUGUGUGCGUGUCUUUUUAGGUGUAAUUUGUAACAGUUUUGGCGACCACGAAGGGACUCUAGGCUCGCCCCAACAAGCGAGACUACACUCCUCCUCUCGGACAGCUCCAGCCGGCAUAGGGUUAAUAAAAGCCAAGAAGGGGAAAAGAAAUAAAAUGGAGGACGAGCUAAUUCAACGCUGUAGCUGGCAGGCUCGGUCCAAAGAUAAGACACUGGCCUGCCCAAGGACACUACUCACAGUUAGGAUUUGGCUAACAGCCAAGAAAGAGGGGAGCUUGAAUGUGCCCAAGCAGCUGUGAAAUCUGCAACACACUGCCAGACAUUAAUGAAAUGUGUUAGGUCUCUGUAUUUACAGGUAAAAAAAGUCCUGCUUCAAGAAUCCUAAGCAAACCUGCCAUUUGUUAAAACCAGGUGACUGGGUCUACAUAAAGGUCCAUCAACAAAAGACUACUCUGGCUCCAUGCUGGAAAGGCCCUUAUUAAGUCCUGCUAACUACCAACACCGCUGUGAAGUGCCAAGGACUGACUGCCUGGACCCAUGC
Molecule: long non-coding RNA, 657 nt
Organism: Chelonia mydas (Green sea turtle)
Lineage: Eukaryota; Metazoa; Chordata; Testudines; Cheloniidae
Exons: 2
Source: RefSeq, a predicted model, not a curated record